This 146-nucleotide unclassified non-coding RNA is filed under the name plant metagenome. Its description in RNAcentral is "partial contains small subunit ribosomal RNA and internal transcribed spacer 1". The stretch from base 1 to 46 matches the Rfam family "Eukaryotic small subunit ribosomal RNA", at positions 1786 to 1831 of the family's 1831-position model. The record is from RNAcentral.
AAGUCGUAACAAGGUUUCCGUAGGUGAACCUGCGGAAGGAUCAUUAAAAUACCGAUAAAACACUGCUUUUGGCACUAAACACACAAACCUUUUUUUUCUUUUUUUCCUUCUAGUUUCACUUUUGUGAAAAAUAUAAAAAACAAAAA